UGGCGGACGGGUGAGUAAUGUCUGGGAAACUGCCUGAUGGAGGGGGAUAACUACUGGGAACGGUAGCUAAUACCGCAUAACGUCGCAAGACCAAAGAGGGGGACCUUCGGGCCUCUUGCCAUCGGAUGUGCCCAGAUGGGAUUAGCUAGUAGGUGGGGUAACGGCUCACCUAGGCGACGAUCCCUAGCUGGUCUGAGAGGAUGACCAGCCACACUGGAACUGAGACACGGUCCAG
This 235-nucleotide ribosomal RNA is filed under the name uncultured bacterium. Its description in RNAcentral is "partial 16S ribosomal RNA". It matches the Rfam family "Bacterial small subunit ribosomal RNA", at positions 96 to 334 of the family's 1533-position model. The record is from RNAcentral.